This 2669-nucleotide long non-coding RNA is filed under the name Homo sapiens (human). Its description in RNAcentral is "HSALNT0273544". Lineage: Eukaryota; Metazoa; Chordata; Mammalia; Primates; Hominidae. The record is from RNAcentral.
CGAGAUUUGGUUGUUCAAAAGUGUUUACCAGCACCUCUCUCCUCCACAUGUCCCUGCCACAUACGAUGUGCUUGCUUCCCUUUUGCCUUCUGCCGUGAUUGAAAGUUUCCUGAGGCCUCCUCCGGAGUGGAGCAGAUGCUGCCAUGCUUCCUGUGCAGCCUGUGGAACGGUGUGGAAUUAGAGGCCUGAUGGAGUGGAGAGCUUUCCUCCUCAUCACCUGGGUCAGGACCAUGGAGCUCCUUGAGCCUUGAGAUUCCAGGCCCAGGAGCACAUCAUCAUUGUGCUUCUUGGGGCCCAGGCGCAUCUCCUAAGAACUUGUUCUUAGACAUGUUGUGCUCAAACUUGUGGCAUCAUAGCAGUAAUAGUUUACAAUAUACCUACAGUUUCCUGGGCAGAUCAUCGUGUGCAGACCGGCUGCAGAGAGAAGGGAACUGUUUCACUUUCAUCUUCCUGGGCCAUUUCCAGAUAUGAAUUGCAGAGACAUAUUUCAAUAUAUCCUCACCCAAAUAUGCUUUAGAAGUACAUUUCUUUUAAUGUAAUAAGAUUUAUGUCCUUUGUGUUUGUUUAGAGGGUAAAUCUGGAUUUGUAUUUUUAGAAGUUACUUUCACCAAAGAAAUUCGAAAGAAAUAGUGUUUCAGAAAAAUCAAAACAAGCCAUAGAAAUCUAAUAUGUUUCAGAUACUAUAUUGGGCUGCAUGAAGACUAAAUCCAUAAUAUGUAUGAAUAAUGUAUUCUAAAGUAAAUAUCAUAUUUUGUCAAAUUAUUUGUCUGGCAAAAUUAAGUUCUUUUUUCUUUAAAAUGAACUUUUUUUCUUAUUUCGAAGUGAUGUGUAUGUAAAGAGGCAGUGUAGACUGGUGGUUAGGAGCACUCUGGAGUCAGAAGCCUGCUUCAGAAUCUUGGCUACCUCACUUACCAAGGAUAGAGCUGUGGGGAGUUUACUUGUUCUCACUCUCUCUUCUUUUUUCCAUCUGUAAAAUGGCAAAAAUAAACCACCUAAGUAAAAUGGCCUCUGCGAGAGAGAAAUAAAUUAAUAUAUGUUGCUAUGGUUUAAAUGUGUCUCCUCUAAAAUCCAUGUAGCAGCUUAAUCCCACUUUGAUGGCUGUGUUAGUCUGUUCUCACACUGCUAAUAAAGACAUACCCAAGACUGGGUAAUUUAUAAAGAAAAAGUGAUUUAAUGGACUCACAGUUUCACAUGGCUGGGGAGGCCUCAUAAUCAUGGCAGAAGGCAAAGGAGGAGAAAGGCACGUCUUACAUGGCAGCAGGCAAGAGAGCUUGUGGAGGGGAACUCCUAUUUAUAAAACCAUCAGAUCUCAUGAGACUUAUUCACUACCACGGGAAGAGUAUGACAGAAAUUGCCCCUGUGAUUCAAUUAAUAAGACUUAUUCACUAUCACGAGAACAGUGUGAGAGAAAUUGCCUCCGUGAUUCAAUUAUCUCCACCUGCCCUUGACACACGGGAAUUAUUAAAAUUUAAGGUGAGAUUUGGGUGGGGACACAGCGAAACCAUAUCAAUGGCAUUGAGAGAUGAGGCCUUUGGGGAUGUGAUUAAAUCCCAGUGGAUUAGAAUAGAUUAGUACCUUAUAAAAGGCCUGGCGGGGACUAGUUUAGGCCCUUUUGGCCUUUCCAUCCCUUCUGCCAUAGAAGACCCCUCCAGAGAAAGCAACAAGGCACCAUCUUGGAAGCCAAGAGAGGAGCCCUUACUGGACACCAAACCCGCCAGCACCUCCGUCUUGGACGUUCCAGCCUUCAGAACCAUGAGAAGUAAAUUUCUGUUCUUUAUACAUUAUUCAGUCUGUGGUGUUUUAUUAUAGCAGCACAAAUGGACUAACACAUGUGAAACACUUAGAGCUGUGCUUUGCCCAGAGUAAGUGCUCAGUCAAUCUUGUGAAAAAUUUGGCAAGUCAGUAAAAGUAGAACUGAGAAAACAAAAAGUACCCACUUUCCACCACUUGCAGAAGCCAUUAGUAGCAUUUUAGCAUAUUACUUUCAGUCGAUCCCUAUCCAUUUUAUAAUCUGAGAGUUUACCACUUGUAAAAUAUUUACACUUUUUGCUUCACUUGACACACCACAAGCAUUUAUUUGUAUUAUUUAAAUCCUCUGCCCCUUCUGCAACUUCUUUUCUUUUUUUUUUUAUUUUUUCUUUUUCUUUCUUUCUUUCUUUUUUUUUUUUGAGAUGUAGUCUUGCUCUGUUGCCUGGUCUGGAGUGCAGUGGUGAGAUCUUGGCUCACCGCAACCUCUGCCUCCCAGGUUGAAGCAAUUCUCCUGCCUCAGUCUCCCAAGUAGCUGGGAUUACAGGUGCGUGCCACCACACCUGGCUAAUUUUUGUAUUUUUAGUAGAGACGGGGUUUCACCAUAUUGGCCAGGCUGGUCUAGAACUUCCGACCUCAAGUAAUCCACCCACCUGGGCCUCUCAAAGUGCUAGGAUUAUAGAUUUGAGCCAGUGCGCCCAUAACAUAUGGCCGUCUUCCAUAACUUUCUUAACCGUUUCCUAUUUCCCUGUUGUAGGAUAUUUAGAUUGUUUCCAAGAACAUCAAAACAUAUUAAAAAUAUUAACAGUUUUAUGCUUAUUGUAUGGAACGUCUCCAAAUCAUAUAGCCAUUUUACCCUUCUUGCUAGUGAAGUGACAUACAGUUUUGAAAACCCUACAGAACAUGGUAUUUUAGACGUGGCU